UCGCAAGACCUCACGCUCUUGGAGCGGCCGAUGUCGGAUUAGCUAGUUGGUGAGGUAAAGGCUCACCAAGGCGACGAUCUGUAGCGGGUCUGAGAGGAUGAUCUGCCAUACUGGGACUGAGACACGGCCCAGACUCCUACGGGAGGCAGCAGUGGGGAAUUUUGGACAAUGGGCGCAACCCUGAUCCAGCCAUGCCGCGUGAGUGAAGAAGGCCUUCGGGUUGUAAAGCUCUUUCGGCGGGGAAGAAAUGGCAACGGCUAAUAUCCGUUGUUGAUGACGGUACCCGCAUAAGAAGCACCGGCUAACUACGUACCAGCAGCCGCGGUAAUACGUAGGGUGCGAGCGUUAAUCGGAAUUACUGGGCGUAAAGCGUGCGCAGGCGGUUUCNNAAGACAGACGUGAAAUCCCCGGGCUCAACCUGGGAACUGCGUUUCUGACUGCAGGGCUAGAGUACGGCAG
RNAcentral lists this ribosomal RNA (459 nucleotides) under Azoarcus sp. Its description in RNAcentral is "bacterial SSU rRNA". It matches the Rfam family "Bacterial small subunit ribosomal RNA", at positions 200 to 654 of the family's 1533-position model. The record is from RNAcentral. Lineage: Bacteria; Pseudomonadati; Pseudomonadota; Betaproteobacteria; Rhodocyclales; Zoogloeaceae.